CAGAAAAGGAACUGCUGGGGUAAAAUGGCAACAUGCUGGGAGAACACAGGUUUGCAGCUCUUGUGGGAGAAAUACUUUCAAGAAGAAAGAAGUAGUUAAUAAUGCAAAAUACUCAGGUGAGCACCAGGGAAUAAAGGAUGGAGAAAUAUUUUGAAUUUUUCAGGACAAUAUUUAGUGUGAGUAAAUUUAGAAGGCACAAAAACUGAACAGCUGAAAUGAUCUGUGAGAAGAUAGAUAUUGUCAUGGACUGAAGACCAAGGUUACAUGGAAAGAGAAAUGGACUGGAUAAUAGUUGAAAAGAUUAGACAGCAAACAUGUUUUUCUUUUAAGAAAAGAUAAGAAGAUUGAUUGAGGUCAAAGUGCAAUGAGUCAAGGAUAGUGACAACUGGAAGAACAGGAAGCAGUUUGGCGGUGGCGGAUAGGUGAGGCACAAGGACGUCAGCACUGGAUUCAGACAAACCGGGUUUGGAUCUUGUGUCUGCUACUGACCAGCUGUGUAACCUUGGGCAAUUUGCUUCAACUCUGGGUCUCAGAUUCCUUAUUAUAAAGUAAGCUUUUCUAAAAAAAAAAAAAAAGGUGAAAAUUAAAAUAGGUGAAGGCGUGUAUUGCGCGUGUACUUUGGGUGGCCCUGUGCUGCGUCAGCUGGAAGGGAUCC
This 655-nucleotide long non-coding RNA is filed under the name Homo sapiens (human). Its description in RNAcentral is "non-protein coding lnc-CEP44-1:3". The record is from RNAcentral. Lineage: Eukaryota; Metazoa; Chordata; Mammalia; Primates; Hominidae.